This 77-nucleotide transfer RNA is filed under the name Clostridiales bacterium. RNAcentral describes it as "tRNA-Asp". It matches the Rfam family "tRNA". From Rfam's summary of the family: Transfer RNA (tRNA) molecules are approximately 80 nucleotides in length. Their secondary structure includes four short double-helical elements and three loops (D, anti-codon, and T loops). The record is from RNAcentral. Lineage: Bacteria; Bacillati; Bacillota; Clostridia; Eubacteriales.
GGCCCAGUAGUUCAGUUGGUUAGAACGCCAGCCUGUCACGCUGGAGGUCGAGGGUUCGAGUCCCUUCUGGGUCGCCA